This 292-nucleotide ribosomal RNA is filed under the name uncultured bacterium. RNAcentral's name for it is "partial 16S ribosomal RNA". It matches the Rfam family "Bacterial small subunit ribosomal RNA", at positions 505 to 796 of the family's 1533-position model. The record is from RNAcentral.
GUGUCAGCAGCCGCGGUAAUACGAGGGGGGCAAAUGUUGUUCGGAAUCACUGGGCGUAAAGGGAGCGUAGGCGGGUGUUUAAGUUAGGUGUUUAAUCCCGGGGCCCAACCCCGGUCGUGCACCUAAAACUGGGCAUCUUGAAUAGUGGAGAGGUCAGUGGAAUUGGGGGUGUAGCGGUGGAAUGCGUAGAGAUCCCCAAGAACACCAGUUGCGAAGGCGGCUGACUGGACACAUAUUGACGCUGAGGCUCGAAAGCAUGGGGAGCAAACAGGAUUAGAAACCCCCGUAGUCC